UCUGUAGAUUUCUAGCUAAGAAGAAAGUCUACAUUCAGCUAGACUUUGGAGUAUCCUGCACAAUCUCGCUGUCAGAAAGCGACUGAAACUGGAUAUGAUCGUGACAGUGAUGAUGAUGAGGAUGAUGUUCAUGUCACUAUCGGAGACAUUAAAACGGGAGCACUACAGUAUGGGAGCAGUGGGACCUCAUGGAGACAACUUGGUAGAAAAGAUUCUAUCAGUGCUCCCGCAGUUUCCCGGCCACACGAGUGAUGGGAUGGUCAGCAUGGCCGGG
Molecule: long non-coding RNA, 274 nt
Organism: Sorex fumeus (smoky shrew)
Lineage: Eukaryota; Metazoa; Chordata; Mammalia; Eulipotyphla; Soricidae
Exons: 3
Source: RefSeq, a predicted model, not a curated record